RNAcentral lists this ribosomal RNA (465 nucleotides) under Vreelandella stevensii. Its description in RNAcentral is "partial 16S ribosomal RNA". It matches the Rfam family "Bacterial small subunit ribosomal RNA", at positions 338 to 795 of the family's 1533-position model. Lineage: Bacteria; Pseudomonadati; Pseudomonadota; Gammaproteobacteria; Oceanospirillales; Halomonadaceae. The record is from RNAcentral.
CCUACGGGUGGCAGCAGUGGGGAAUAUUGGACAAUGGGGGCAACCCUGAUCCAGCCAUGCCGCGUGUGUGAAGAAGGCCCUCGGGUUGUAAAGCACUUUCAGUGAGGAAGAACGCCUGGUGGUUAAUACCCAUCAGGAAAGACAUCACUCACAGAAGAAGCACCGGCUAACUCCGUGCCAGCAGCCGCGGUAAUACGGAGGGUGCGAGCGUUAAUCGGAAUUACUGGGCGUAAAGCGCGCGUAGGUGGCUUGAUAAGCCGGUUGUGAAAGCCCCGGGCUCAACCGGGGAACGGCAUCCGGAACUGUCAAGCUAGAGUGCAGGAGAGGAAGGUAGAAUUCCCGGUGUAGCGGUGAAAUGCGUAGAGAUCGGGAGGAAUACCAGUGGCGAAGGCGGCCUUCUGGACUGACACUGACACUGAGGUGCGAAAGCGUGGGUAGCAAACAGGAUUAGAUACCCUAGUAGUC